Molecule: ribosomal RNA, 204 nt
Filed under: Klebsiella pneumoniae
Lineage: Bacteria; Pseudomonadati; Pseudomonadota; Gammaproteobacteria; Enterobacterales; Enterobacteriaceae
Also listed under: 1 other name
Description: partial 16S ribosomal RNA
Rfam family: Bacterial small subunit ribosomal RNA
Source: RNAcentral
AAAUUGAAGAGUUUGAUCAUGGCUCAGAUUGAACGCUGGCGGCAGGCCUAACACAUGCAAGUCGAGCGGUAGCACAGAGAGCUUGCUCUCGGGUGACGAGCGGCGGACGGGUGAGUAAUGUCUGGGAAACUGCCUGAUGGAGGGGGAUAACUACUGGAAACGGUAGCUAAUACCGCAUAACGUCGCAAGACCAAAGUGGGGGAC